Molecule: ribosomal RNA, 274 nt
Filed under: uncultured bacterium
Lineage: Bacteria
Description: partial 16S ribosomal RNA
Rfam family: Bacterial small subunit ribosomal RNA
Source: RNAcentral
AUACGGAGGGUGCAAGCGUUACUCGGAAGCACUGGGCGUAAAGCGCGCGCAGGCGGUCUUUUAAGUUGGAUGUGAAAGCCUACAGCUCAACUGUAGAACUGCAUCCAAAACUAUUAGACUAGAGUCUGGGAGGGGAAGAUGGAAUUAGUUGUGUAGGGGUAAAAUCCGUAGAGAUAACUAGGAAUACCAAAAGCGAAGGCGAUCUUCUGGAACAGUACUGACGCUGAGGCGCGAAAGCGUGGGGAGCAAACAGGAUUAGAAACCCCAGUAGUCC